RNAcentral lists this ribosomal RNA (404 nucleotides) under uncultured prokaryote. RNAcentral describes it as "bacterial SSU rRNA". It matches the Rfam family "Bacterial small subunit ribosomal RNA", at positions 355 to 776 of the family's 1533-position model. RNAcentral also lists the same sequence under 1 other name. The record is from RNAcentral.
UCGGGAAUUUUCGGCAAUGGGGGAAACCCUGACCGAGCAACGCCGCGUGAGGGAAGAAGGUCUUCGGAUCGUAAACCUUUGUCUUCAGGGACGAUAAUGACGGUACCUGAGGAGGAAGCCACGGCUAACUACGUGCCAGCAGCCGCGGUAAUACGUAGGUGGCAAGCGUUGUCCGGAAUUACUGGGCGUAAAGGGCGUGUAGGCGGUUUUUUAAGUCAGGCGUGAAAAUCCAGGGCUUAACCCUGGACCUGCGUUUGAAACUGGAAGACUUGAGGGCGGGAGAGGAAAGCGGAACUCCGUGUGUAGCGGUGAAAUGCGUAGAUAUACGGAAGAACACCAGUGGCGAAGGCGGCUUUCUGGACCGAUCCUGACGCUGAGGCGCGAAAGCUAGGGGAGCGAACGGG